UGCCCUAUGGUGUAGCGAUUAGCACAAGAGGCUCUAACCCUCCUGGUCCGGGUUUGACUCCUGGUAGGGCUACUAA
RNAcentral lists this transfer RNA (76 nucleotides) under Caudoviricetes sp. RNAcentral describes it as "tRNA-OTHER". It matches the Rfam family "tRNA". From Rfam's summary of the family: Transfer RNA (tRNA) molecules are approximately 80 nucleotides in length. Their secondary structure includes four short double-helical elements and three loops (D, anti-codon, and T loops). Lineage: Duplodnaviria; Heunggongvirae; Uroviricota; Caudoviricetes. The record is from RNAcentral.